This 82-nucleotide transfer RNA is filed under the name Felis catus (domestic cat). It matches the Rfam family "tRNA". From Rfam's summary of the family: Transfer RNA (tRNA) molecules are approximately 80 nucleotides in length. Their secondary structure includes four short double-helical elements and three loops (D, anti-codon, and T loops). Lineage: Eukaryota; Metazoa; Chordata; Mammalia; Carnivora; Felidae. RNAcentral also lists the same sequence under 1 other name. The record is from Rfam by way of RNAcentral.
GCCUGGGUGGCUCAGUUGGUUGAGCGUCCGACUUCAGCUCAGAUCAUCUCAUGGCUUGUGAGUUCAAGCCCCAUGUCAGGCU